UACGUAGGGUGCAGGCGUUAAUCGGAAUUACUGGGCGUAAAGCGUGCGCAGGCGGUUUGCUAAGACAGGUGUGAAAUCCCCGGGCUUAACCUGGGAACUGCGCUUGUAACUGGCAAGCUAGAGUGUGGCAGAGGGGGGUGGAAUUCCACGUGUAGCAGUGAAAUGCGUAGAUAUCUGGAGGAACACCGGUGGCGAAGGCGGCAUUCUGGACUACAACUGACACUGAGGAACGAAAGCCAGGGGAGCAAACGGG
RNAcentral lists this ribosomal RNA (253 nucleotides) under uncultured bacterium. RNAcentral describes it as "partial 16S ribosomal RNA". It matches the Rfam family "Bacterial small subunit ribosomal RNA", at positions 524 to 776 of the family's 1533-position model. The record is from RNAcentral.